GUGUAACAGUUAAAAAAGACACUUUAAUAAUUCUUAUUUCCAAUUUGUGUUUGUGAAUUUUAUCUCAAUGAGGAACUUUUAUUCAUGAAUGUUUCCUGUGGAAAUGACCUUGCUGCACAUCGUCCCUUCUGUCCCUCACAGAGCUGUUUUGCAUUGCUGAGGGAGCAGAUGUGCAGGAGAGACCAGAAGGUGAUUCAUAUGUGUUACAUUGUCUUCUGCAGGAGCAAAUAAAGGCUGGAAACCAA
Long non-coding RNA from Thunnus maccoyii (southern bluefin tuna), 245 nucleotides. RefSeq lists it as uncharacterized. The record is from RefSeq and is a predicted model, not a curated record. Lineage: Eukaryota; Metazoa; Chordata; Actinopteri; Scombriformes; Scombridae. The transcript has 2 exons.